Molecule: ribosomal RNA, 476 nt
Filed under: uncultured bacterium
Lineage: Bacteria
Description: bacterial SSU rRNA
Rfam family: Bacterial small subunit ribosomal RNA
Source: RNAcentral
CAGGACGAACGCUGGCGGCGUGCUUAACACAUGCAAGUCGAACGGGAGUAUCAAAGAAGCUUGCUUUUAAGAUACUUUAGUGGCGGACGGGUGAGUAACGCGUGAGGAGCUGUCCUAUGCAGGGGGACAACAGUUGGAAACGGCUGCUAAUACCCCAUAAGCCGAGAGGUAAAAAGGAUUAAUCCGGCAAAGGAGGCACUCGCGUCCUAUCAGCUAGUAGGUUGGGUAACGGCCGACCUAGGCGAAGACGGGUAGCCGGCCUGAGAGGGCGAACGGCCACACUGGAACUGAGAUACGGUCCAGACUCCUACGGGAGGCAGCAGUGGGGAAUAUUGGGCAAUGGGGGGCAAAACCCCCUGACCCAGCGACGCCGCGUGGGUGAAGAAAUCCUUCGGGAUGUAAAGCCCUGUUGUAUGGGAAGAGUAGAAGACGGUACCAUACGAGGAAGCCCCGGCAAACUACGUGCCAGCCGCAGC